Molecule: long non-coding RNA, 778 nt
Organism: Daphnia pulicaria
Lineage: Eukaryota; Metazoa; Arthropoda; Branchiopoda; Diplostraca; Daphniidae
Exons: 5
Source: RefSeq, a predicted model, not a curated record
GUGAAGGCAACAGGAAUACUCUCGCCCAGUUGACUGCAGACAAUACAGAACGAAAUCCCUAAGCCAAACAAGAAAAACAUUUAUAUACUCAGCAAAGGAGCACCGAAGCAUGCGGAAAACCCCAUUCGUGGCAAAUUUUGUCUCGCCAUGCUGACAUCGGCAGCGAAAUCUGGUUACAUGGAUUGUGAGGCCUAAUAUAGCAUCACUUAACUGAAAGACCACGCCAAAUGUGAACAAAACGGCCAUGAUCUCAUUGGCUAUUAAGUCGAUCCAAAUAACAGACACCACAAAAGCCAAGAAAGAAAACAUCUGGACAGAAUUGGAAAUAUUUAGACAUCAGAUAAUCCUGUAGUUGGGUGAAAAUAGUUGAUUACCCAGUAAAUCUUGGGCUCUCUUUCCCGACUGCUAAAAAUGGCUAGAAGCAGGCCGAGGCUCAGUCCAAUCACAAAAAUCAUUAGAGUUAACAGCGCUUACAUCCGAUGGCCCAAACUAUCCAUGUAGGAGUCAACGCAAGUUGCAAACAGGAUAAAGAGCGACACCAGCCCUGCCGAGGAUGUUCCUUGCUCACCAGUGGAAUUGAGAGCCUGAAUGCCUUAAUUUACCUCAACCAAAGAGAUCGCUCUAGAGUACCACUUCAUUUCUAUCCACUGGUCAAUGGAAAACGGUCGUAAGUUUGUUCUUAAAUCGACAAAUUCCUCUUUCACGUUUGACCAAAUGGAAUCCGUCUGUAUAACUGUACAUAAUUAAAGAAAUUAAUAAAACCUUACGGGUUUUUAAA